This 73-nucleotide transfer RNA is filed under the name Camelus bactrianus (Bactrian camel). It matches the Rfam family "tRNA". Rfam says of the family: Transfer RNA (tRNA) molecules are approximately 80 nucleotides in length. The record is from Rfam by way of RNAcentral. Lineage: Eukaryota; Metazoa; Chordata; Mammalia; Artiodactyla; Camelidae. RNAcentral also lists the same sequence under 1 other name.
GGGUAUGUAAGCUCAGUGGUAGAGCACAUGCUUAGCAUGCAUGAGGUGGUGGGUUCAAUCCCCAGUACCUCCA